CACCUGCAGGUGCAAAACAGCAGUGGUGAGUUGUGGGGCCCACUAUAAAAGCUCCGCCGUUCAGUGCUAAGAUCCGUCAGUUGCUUCUGUGAACAUCUGCUGCUUCAUUCCACCAUGAUCCGUGCUUGCGUGCUCUUCGCAUUGGCCACUUGUGCCUUUGGUGUCUACUCCGGCUAUCCCUAUGGUUACUCUGCAGCUGCUCCCGCCGCCUAUGGAGCUUACCACGCUCCACUUGGUUCUUUGUCCUCGUAUAGCUAUGGCGUUGGCCAUGGAGCGCCAGCUUACGGCUACGGACUAGGAAGCUAUGGCCUUAGCUACGGAAGCGGCCUCGGUGGUCUAGGCUAUUCCACUCUGCUGCACAAAUGAUGAUUCAUGCAAGAAUGGGCGGAAACUGACAUUUCAAGACAUGGCAGAAAAAAUACCUUGCAAUAAACUUACUUCUGAAUGUACAAUUUCUAG
Molecule: long non-coding RNA, 459 nt
Organism: Dermacentor silvarum
Lineage: Eukaryota; Metazoa; Arthropoda; Arachnida; Ixodida; Ixodidae
Exons: 3
Source: RefSeq, a predicted model, not a curated record